Long non-coding RNA from Quercus lobata, 1022 nucleotides. RefSeq lists it as uncharacterized. Lineage: Eukaryota; Viridiplantae; Streptophyta; Magnoliopsida; Fagales; Fagaceae. The record is from RefSeq and is a predicted model, not a curated record. The transcript is spliced from 2 exons.
AGUCCUACUACUAUAUAACUAUAUAAGAAUAAAAUAAGAAGAGAAGAACAGCCGCAUCAAAGAAAAAGUUGUGGGUUCUUCAAUCUUGUGUCUUUCUUGUGUGUGUGAGAGAGAGAGAGAGCUAGGGUGUAAUUGAGAUUUGGGUUUUUUGAGUGUUCGUGUAUUAUUGUAUGUCCCUAUUUUUAUAGUAAAAUUUCUUCGUCAUCGCCAUGGAGGUAGGCAAUUUGCUGAACCAAGUAAAUUCUUGCGUUCUUUGUGUGUGCUUAUUAUUUAAUUCCGCUUAUUUACUGUUAUUUAUUUGAAUCCUAGGGUGCUAGUUUGCACAACACAAGUAAAUUUCAAUGCAGAUUUGUUUGGGACAAUAUCAAUAUCAUUAUCAUACAGCAUGGUCGUUGAUCUUCAUUGGGCAUUAUCACCUUUCUCCCUCCUGUCCUAGUCCUUCAUUGGUGACUCAUGAUAUAAGUGCACAAAAGCAUCAAAAUCAGCUAAUUUCUUGACUUAUAUAUUGCUGCAUAUUUGUUCUUCUGUUUUAUUAUGUUCCUAACUUCAAAUUACCUUUCACAAAAAUUUAAUCAAGUGUAGGAUAUUCAGCCAAAAAUUCUUAUAUAAAUAUUAAUUUAUUAUCGAGAUCCAUUUGGCUUGUGUCUACUGUCUACCUCAUGGGCCUGCAUGAAUACGUAGUACUUGUAUUUAGUUGUUCAGAAAACUAAACUAUGCCAGGGUGCAUUCAAAAUUUUGCUUCCUAUCAAAUACUUUCCUCAACCAAUGACAGGCCAUGCCAACUUCUUUUAUCUGUAUGUAAUUAUAAAUUUUUUGGAAUUUUGAUAAACUAUGUCCUGUCCAAUUCCAAGAAAAUUUAUUAGGUAAUCUGGGAGUAUACUCUCUCCCUCUCACAUGGAAGUGGGCACCAUGGUGAGUGAGACCCACCCCAUGUAUUUAAAUGUGCUAGAGUGUACAACAUAGGCUGCUGGAAUUGAAGAAAAUAUUUAUGAAUAUAUGAUACUUGAUAGUGUCGAAUACUA